RNAcentral lists this ribosomal RNA (209 nucleotides) under uncultured bacterium. Its description in RNAcentral is "partial 16S ribosomal RNA". It matches the Rfam family "Bacterial small subunit ribosomal RNA", at positions 589 to 793 of the family's 1533-position model. The record is from RNAcentral.
CAGAUGUGAAAGACCCGGGGCGUCAACCUCGGAAUUGCAUUUGAAACUGGCAAACUAGAGUACUGUAGAGGGGGGUAGGAAUUUCAGGUGUAGCGGUGAAAUGCGUAGAGAUCUGAAGGAAUACCGGUGGCGAAGGCGGCCCCCUCGGACAGAUACUGACACUCAGAUGCGAAAGCGUGGGGAGCAAACAGGAUUAGAUACCCUGGUAG